Molecule: ribosomal RNA, 567 nt
Filed under: uncultured archaeon
Lineage: Archaea
Description: bacterial SSU rRNA
Rfam family: Archaeal small subunit ribosomal RNA
Source: RNAcentral
CGCGAAUCGCCCUUGGGGGUGCCCGACGCUCGAUUUCUUUAAAUGCUUGCGACGGUAAUUCCGGAGCGUCUAGUGUCAGGUUAUUAAUCUGGCUGUCAUGAUGCCUAAAAAGCAUUGCAAUACCUGGGCCGGAUCAUACCGGUGUCCGACACCGCGGUAACACCGGCGGCUCGAGUGCUAACCGUUAUUAUUGUUGUCUAAAGGAUCUGUACCCGGCAGGGUAAUUCUCUUGGGAAAUCUGGUAGCUUAACUGUCAUGCUUUCACGACAUACUGCUUGGCUCUAGGCCGGGAGAGGUGAGAGGUACUUCAUGGGUACGGAUGAAAUCUUGUAAUCCUUGAAGGAUCUCCAGUGACAAAUGCGUCUCACCAUAACGAACCUUACGACCAGGGACUAAAGCUAAGGGCUCGAACCGGAUUAGAUACCCGGGUAGUCCUAACCGUAAACGAUACUCCCUAGGUGUCGGCCACUGUGCAACCGUGAUCAGUGCCAUAAGUAAACCGUGAAACUAGCCACCUGGGAAUUACUGUUGCAAGGAUUAAACUUAUAUGAAUUGUGGGGGGACCAC